UGGACAACAGAUAUGAACGUUUUGCAGUUAGUCAAAUGGUGUAGUGUAAAGUCUAGGUUGCUUUGAAUAUACAAAUCAGGUGAGCGGGGUAUUGAAUGUAGCAGGCUGGAAAGAUGUUUUGAUAAAUUGGCAUGAACUGUGAAGUUUACCAUUGCUUACAUCCAGUGGGACUGUAAAUUCUGAAAUGGAUUUGGAGGUGUAUGUUGGAGUAUGCUUGGCACAUAUUGAAUUUGUGCUGUCUAAGGCGUCUGCUGUUUCAGGUAUACAUGUUCAUUGUUAUUGAAAAUCAACAAGAAUGUAAUUGUCAGCAAAGUAAUAAUUUUUGUUUCUGACACUAGUGUGUUCCACUUGUAAAGUAUUGGUCAAUAAAGAUUUCAGUUGAAAA
RNAcentral lists this long non-coding RNA (385 nucleotides) under Schistocerca americana (American grasshopper). RNAcentral's name for it is "uncharacterized LOC124607069, transcript variant X1". The record is from RNAcentral. Lineage: Eukaryota; Metazoa; Arthropoda; Insecta; Orthoptera; Acrididae.